UUUCCGUAGGUGAACCUGCGGAAGGAUCAUUAAUGAGUUGUCAUGGGGUUCGAUGCUGGCAGCCAGUUUUUGGAUGCAUGUGCUUGCCCUAACAAUCAUCUUCUUCCAAACACCUGUGCACAUUUUUGAGGGAGUCUUGAGUUGGUUGCCGCUCUUGGGUGAUUUUCUCACAUUCCCUUAAAUCAUUAUACGCUAGUAACAAUGUUGAACGUGCUCUGUGCCGCAAGGCCAUUAAUAUAAUACAACUUUUAACAACGGAUCUCUUGGCUCUC
RNAcentral lists this unclassified non-coding RNA (272 nucleotides) under plant metagenome. Its description in RNAcentral is "partial contains small subunit ribosomal RNA, internal transcribed spacer 1, and 5.8S ribosomal RNA". The record is from RNAcentral.